AUGCACGCUGGCGGCGUGCCUAAUCCAUGCCAGUCGAGCGAACAGAUGAGGAGCUUGCUCCUCUGACGUUAGCGGCGGACGGGUGAGUAACACGUGGAUAACCUACCUAUAAGACUGGGAUAACUUCGGGAAACCGGAGCUAAUACCGGAUAAUAUAUUGAACCGCAUGGUUCAAUAGUGAAAGACGGUUUUGCUGUCACUUAUAGAUGGAUCCGCGCCGCAUUAGCUAGUUGGUAAGGUAACGGCUUACCAAGGCAACGAUGCGUAGCCGACCUGAGAGGGUGAUCGGCCACACUGGAACUGAGACACGGUCCAGACUCCUACGGGAGGCAGCAGUAGGGAAUCUUCCGCAAUGGGCGAAAGCCUGACGGAGCAACGCCGCGUGAGUGAUGAAGGUCUUCGGAUCGUAAAACUCUGUUAUUAGGGAAGAACAAAUGUGUAAGUAACUAUGCACGUCUUGACGGUACCUAAUCAGAAAGCCACGGCUAACUACGUG
Molecule: ribosomal RNA, 496 nt
Filed under: uncultured bacterium
Lineage: Bacteria
Description: partial 16S ribosomal RNA
Rfam family: Bacterial small subunit ribosomal RNA
Source: RNAcentral